Molecule: ribosomal RNA, 612 nt
Filed under: uncultured bacterium
Lineage: Bacteria
Description: bacterial SSU rRNA
Rfam family: Bacterial small subunit ribosomal RNA
Source: RNAcentral
CUGCGGCGGAUUAGCUAGUUGGUGGGGUAACGGCCUACCAAGGCGAUGAUCCGUAGGGGGCGUGAGAGCGUGGCCCCCCACACUGGCACUGAGAUACGGGCCAGACUCCUACGGGAGGCAGCAGUGAGGAAUAUUGCACAAUGGGCGCAAGCCUGAUGCAGCAACGCCGCGUGAGGGACGAAGGCCUUCGGGUUGUAAACCUCUUUUCUGAGGGACGAGGAAGGACGGUACCUCAGGAAUAAGUCUCGGCUAACUACGUGCCAGCAGCCGCGGUAAAACGUAGGAGGCGAGCGUUAUCCGGAUUUACUGGGCGUAAAGCGCGCGCAGGUGGCUUCGUGAGUCGGACAUGAAAGCUCCUGGCUUAACUGGGAGAGGCUGUUCGAUACUGCGGGGCUUGAGGUUGGGAGAGGGACGCGGAAUUCCCGGUGUAGUGGUGGAAUGCGUAGAUAUCGGGAGGAACACCAGUGGCGCAAGCGGCGUCCUGGCCCACACCUGACGCUGAGGUGCGAAAGCGUGGGUAGCAAACAGGAUUAGAUACCCUGGUAGUCCACGCUGUAAACGAUGUCAACUGGGUGUCGGUAGUUUUACACUAUCGGUGCCGAAGCUAACGCG